Molecule: unclassified non-coding RNA, 314 nt
Filed under: fungal sp.
Lineage: Eukaryota; Fungi
Also listed under: 1 other name
Description: partial internal transcribed spacer region
Rfam family: Eukaryotic small subunit ribosomal RNA (bases 1-46)
Source: RNAcentral
AAGUCGUAACAAGGUUUCCGUAGGUGAACCUGCGGAAGGAUCAUUAACACUCCAAAACUUCUCAUAGCUCUGGGAAACCAGAGUUUAUGAAACCCUAUUCACAAUACGAACCCGGCAGGUGUUGCUUUUCGGAGCUGCAUCUUGCUACUCUUUUGUCCAUUCUUUUUUUAACCCAACAUACUUUUUCUUAUUGUCUGACUGGAAGGCCUUUACUGUGUCCUUCCGUUGCUCUUGCAGCUAAACCCUGUAAGGCAAUGAAAACUAUAAAAACAAAAACAAAAAAACAACUCUUAGCAACGGAUAUCUUGGUUCUC